ACGUGUUUUAAUGAGGUUAAAAUGAGGUUUUCUUUUAUUUAUUCCUCAUUUAAGAUGAAACUCGAGUCCAAACACGAGGAGUCGGUAGAGGAGACCAGCUGACCCGCUCCAGUCCCUCCUGAUCCUCCUGAUCCUCCAGGUGAGCAGCAGCAGGAGAUGCAGAAAACACAAACAGUACAUUUGAUGUCAUUCUAAAGUUUGGACUUUGGUUUUUGCAGUGAAAUCUGAAUAAUUGAAGGUUUGAACAAACAGGAUUAACUGGAACAGAUUUCUGCUUCUAGGAGCAGCUCAGAUCAGAUCAGAUCAGAUCAGGAUUCAUGGUGACGGUUGGACAUGAACUCCUCUUUUCCCUCCAGCAGCAGCUGACUGACUGACGGUCUCUAGGUGGGCACCGUGGAGGUGGCGGCGUUCCCCCCAUCGCCCCUCCAGUCCAGGUAGGAGAAGAAAGCGCUGGCGCCGUACAGCAGCGUCAUGACGGCGGCAAAGAACUGAGACGGAGAAAGAGAACGAGCUAGUCAGAAAGAGGAACACGUUUGAUCCGCUGCAGAUCACCAUCUGCUUCUCUUUGGUCACAAGCUUCUCUCAAACCAGAUCAGAUGAGGAUUUGUUAAUAUUCAGCUUCUUUUUUAUAUUAUCAACUUAAAAAAAUCAUUAUUAUUAUUAAUUUGGAGAUGUUUUUAAUGAAAAGCACUUUGAGCUGCACUAAGCUGCUCUAUAAAUAAAGAUUGAUUUGAUUAAAAGCUGCAGAAAUAAGAACAUUAUUAUUAAAAUGAACAUUUUUGCUCCAAAUUCUCAACAUGGCAACUGAAUUUAAGACCCAAAUUUCACAGGUUUAGUCUUUAGGAUGUUAUUUUAAAGGUAGAUUGUCAUUUAUUGUCAUCAUUUUGGAGACUAAAUUCAGAUUUAUGUUCUGAGAACAGAUUUUAUGUUGAAGAUUCUUAUUUUGUUUCCAUUUUAAAUGAGUCAUUUCCACUUUUAUUCUAUUUUUAUGUCAAUAAAUCCCAUAAACCUUAUUCUUGUGUUGGGGUCGGCUCAGACCCGUUUCAAUUUUAAAUUCCACAAAAGAACGAUUCAACAUGAAUUAUUUCCAUCAAAGCGUUAUGACUGUCAGGAACAUUUAUUUCAACAAAAUUCAGUUUUUUUAUUUUUAUUUUCGGACUAUAAGUCACAGUUUUAUUCACAGUUUAUCCGGGGUGUGACUUAAACUCAGGAGUGACUUAUUUGUGAUUUUUUUUUUAGACAUAAAUAAAUUAAAUAUUUGUUAUUUUCCCAGUAAACACUGGUUGUGUUUUAGUGGUUGUUUCCUCUAAGAACCACUAGAGGGCGCUGCAUCUAUCAGUAUUUACUACUGACAGCAGAAGAAGAGUCGUCCAAAACAAACAUGGAAGAGAAUCUGAUUGUCUUCCGCUUACACUUUGAUAUUCUUCUAAAACAGAUCAAAAGAUUAAUAUUCUUCUUUUUAUUGUAUUUUCUUUUUUUUUAGCUUCAUUGGACUUAACAGUUUUGUUCUGAAACUUUUCUUCUGAAAAUGCGACUUGUGUCGUUUCUGGUGUUUGGGUCGGUUUUGACCCGGUUCUAGAAAUAACUAUAAUUAGAGCCAAAAUGAAAAUCAUUAGUGAGUUCCAGGAGAUUCUCAUCUGUUCAGUAUAUUUAAGAAAAUCCAAACUUUUCUCUGAUUUUAAUCCUUUUGUAAGAUUGAAAUGAUUCUAUGGUUUGAUUUGAUGGUUGUUUGUGUUCCGUUGAGUUUGGAUUAAAGUUCUGUUGAUGACAAAAACACAGAUGUAAUUCUAUUUGCUUAUUCUUGAAGAAAAUAUAAAUGGGUCAAAACGGACUCAUGACGUGAUAGAAGUUACUGGAGUUACUGAAAAAUAAAUCUAACUAAUUUCAGAGAUCGAAACUUCUCAGAAAAAUUCCAUUAACAAAAUAACUUGAAUUUCCUUUGACCAGAAAUAAGAAAAAGGUUUUUACAAACCAAACUCUGGUUUUAAAAAUGACAUCUGUUUAAAUUCUGUAUUUUAUUUGUAUUAUUUAGUAUUUUACCUGUGUUUAACAACUGAAUGUGUCCGGUUUAUCUCUUAAACUUUCAUUUGUUUCAAUGUUCAAUAUUUCUCACUAAAGUUACUUUGAUGAUUCUCUUGAGGUUAUUGAUCAGUUUUAUUGAAAUCUAGACGUAUAUUUACUUCCUUUAAAGUCCCAAAGGAAAAAAAGAAAAAAACUUUUCCAU
Oryzias melastigma (Indian medaka) is the source of this 2224-nucleotide long non-coding RNA. RefSeq lists it as uncharacterized. Lineage: Eukaryota; Metazoa; Chordata; Actinopteri; Beloniformes; Adrianichthyidae. The transcript has 2 exons. The record is from RefSeq and is a predicted model, not a curated record.